RNAcentral lists this ribosomal RNA (229 nucleotides) under Clostridioides difficile. Its description in RNAcentral is "partial 16S ribosomal RNA". It matches the Rfam family "Bacterial small subunit ribosomal RNA", at positions 197 to 428 of the family's 1533-position model. Lineage: Bacteria; Bacillati; Bacillota; Clostridia; Peptostreptococcales; Peptostreptococcaceae. The record is from RNAcentral.
AAUAUCAAAGGUGAGCCAGUACAGGAUGGACCCGCGUCUGAUUAUCUAGUUGGUAAGGUAACGGCUUACCAAGGCGACGAUCAGUAGCCGACCUGAGAGGGGGAUCGGCCACAUUGGAACUGAGACACGGUCCAAACUCCUACGGGAGGCAGCAGUGGGGAAUAUUGCACAAUGGGCGAAAGCCUGAUGCAGCAACGCCGCGUGAGUGAUGAAGGCCUUCGGGUCGUAA